CCAACGGCCCUCUUCAGGGCCACAAUCAUUUUUAAUCCAAACUGUU
Molecule: non-coding RNA, 46 nt
Organism: Caenorhabditis tropicalis
Lineage: Eukaryota; Metazoa; Nematoda; Chromadorea; Rhabditida; Rhabditidae
Source: Rfam